GAUGAACGCUGGCGGCGUGCCUAAUACAUGCCAGUCGAGCGAACAGACGAGGAGCUUGCUCCUCUGACGUUAGCGGCGGACGGGUGAGUAACACGUGGAUAACCUACCUAUAAGACUGGGAUAACUUCGGGAAAUCGGAGCUAAUACCGGAUAAUAUAUUGAACCGCAUGGUUCAAUAGUGAAAGACGGUUUUGCUGUCACUUAUAGAUGGAUCCGCGCCGCAUUAGCUAGUUGGUAAGGUAACGGCUUACCAAGGCGACGAUGCGUAGCCGACCUGAGAGGGUGAUCGGCCACACUGGAACUGAGACACGGUCCAGACUCCUACGGGAGGCAGCAGUAGGGAAUCUUCCGCAAUGGGCGAAAGCCUGACGGAGCAACGCCGCGUGAGUGAUGAAGGUCUUCGGAUCGUAAAACUCUGUUAUUAGGGAAGAACAAAUGUGUAAGUAACUAUGCACGUCUUGACGGUACCUAAUCAGAAAGCCACGGCUAACUACGUG
RNAcentral lists this ribosomal RNA (497 nucleotides) under uncultured bacterium. Its description in RNAcentral is "partial 16S ribosomal RNA". It matches the Rfam family "Bacterial small subunit ribosomal RNA", at positions 28 to 507 of the family's 1533-position model. The record is from RNAcentral.